GGGAGUUAGUAUAAAGAGAGGAAGCUCAGAGUAGAGCGGGACUGCAGGGAGGAAAGCUACAGGUACUGGCUUGGCCUAGAAAGUGGAGAGACUGAUAAGGGUCAAGGAUGAAACCCAGGGUGAAAGUUGGCCCUGAGAUCCUUUCCUGAGUAGGGAAGGGUGGUAAGAGGCCAGAAGAGGCACAGAGCAGCCACUGGAGCAGAUACCAGUGGUGAAGCACCCUAAUCAAAGGGCAGGAUCAGGACUUUCAGGGAGACAGCCCCAGAAGGUGUUUGGCGAGGAACUUAAGAGUCAUGAUAGGUGAAGCCUCGAGACGACAGAAGUUGGGUUAGAUUGUACUUCUGGUUUGAGAUUUAUUGCAGGAUUUCAGGGAACAGCCUGGCCCUGAAAGAAGGGUGAACUUUGAGAGGUGUGGGAGAAGCCUGCUGACAGGCCAUGGUGGAAGAUGUCCAGGGAAGCAGUAGCAAGGAGUCUGAUGGAGCAGACCUUGAUUGCUGGUUAAUGGGUCCCUGGACUGGAACCCAGUGUAGGGAGGCCCUGAGUUCCCCACCUGCUACUGCUGAUGAUUGAGUAUCAAACUCCUCCACUGAGAUUUCUCCAUGGAGACAUUGGGUUUUCCUGGCAGGGAAGGCUGCAAACUACUCAGCGGAAUGUCUAUAGCUCCGCAGUUCAAGAGGAGCCAGGAGGCCUGGCAUCUCAGCCAAGGGAAACACUGCCUUAGUCCCAAGAAUGCGCUCAUGGAGCCUGAGGUGCACACUGGAUUAGGAGGCGACUGACUGGGUUGUUGGUUAUUCCCCCCCCCACUAAAAUCUAAAGUGCAGAGAAGACAAAUCCGCAGAUGAGAAAUCUGGAAAUCCUAAUGGAUGUGGGGGACUGUGGUUUGAUGGUGGAUUCUUUGAUUUCUGCUACGUUGGGUUUGUGCAGGAUGUGUAAAAACACACACACACAGAGGCAGAGCAUAACUUGGCAAGCGAGCGUUUUCAUGGCAAAGCACCGGGAAAUGGGAGUUCCCUUCUCAACAGGGAGGAGACGGGCAAUGAAGCAAAGGUGGGAAUCAGACCCAGCUGGAGUCUCAGUGGAACUAUGGCCUGGGCAGCUAUUACACAAAUAAUCUCCGGGAGCUGUAAGCUCCUGCUCAUUGGUGACACAGACAGCGCAGUAGAAAAACAGACUUAAAUCGCUUCUUGUUCAUGGUAUCUGUAGUGUAAAAAUGGUCUUAGUCCAAGCCCUUGUGGUUGCAGUACCCUGACACCUCAUAAAUUAUCUGCAAGGCGCUACCAAGCUUCCAAAGGAUGAAACUUGAUGCUGAGGUCAGCAUGAUUUUUCUUGCAUCUCCUCCAGGGGAGGAGCCUUUUCAUUCCGGGGAAAACCACUGCAAAGAAGAAGCAGAAAGAAGAGGGAAUGUUUCUUAGAAUUAGAGCCUGUGUUCAGGGGGACAAAGCUUUUUCUAUUUUCCUCUGGCCACCGCUCUGCUCACACAUCAUCAGAGCAGGGUGGAUCGUGGAAGGCACCGAAGCCAGGUGGCACUUAGUGUCAGUUCCAAACCCCAGGGGGUUCUCCUGCAUGUUAUUUCAGAUAAUUUCCCUAAGACUCGGGUCCUGGGUGGCGCUGAGGAGCAUCUUCAACUCUCACUGACUUUUUGGCAGAAGGAUCUGCACAGUGGGAGUAAGGAGCUGUGUGUGCUGAGCACCUUGGAGGAUCAAUGCUUUUCAGACAAAGCAGAGCAGAGGAUGAGAUGAAGUUCUGGAAAACGAUGCUGGGCUUAGGUCCCUGCCUGUAGUUUCCAGAGACCAGAGCACAGCAUCCCAGGAAAUAGUUUAUGGUCUCUAUUGUCUUGUAUCUCCAAGUAUCCUGCUGGCUUUUUUAAACUGCUGUUGCAUUGUCACUGCCAAGGGUCUAGAGCGUCCAUUGGGUGG
Molecule: long non-coding RNA, 1916 nt
Organism: Chelonia mydas (Green sea turtle)
Lineage: Eukaryota; Metazoa; Chordata; Testudines; Cheloniidae
Exons: 2
Source: RefSeq, a predicted model, not a curated record